AAGUUGUUCUUGGCCAAAAACAUCAAUCAGCCUCAUCUCCAGAGUGAUCCUCCAAACUCAGGGAGAAUUGCAGUGAAUGACAGUUCCUGUUUCUCAACAUCAUUGUCAGCAUUUGGUGCUGUCAGUGUUCUAGAUUUUGACCAUUGUAAUAGUCAUCCUCCUUAGCCACCUCAUGAGUGCAUUGAAGAGGAUGACCUGCUUAGUUAUUCUGCUUCCCGAAUACAAAAAAUUAGCCUUCUGAAAUCAAACAUAAGAAGUCAUUGUUGCUUUUAUUCCAGAGACUAGGUCUCGCUGUGUUUCCCAGGCAGGUCUCUAACUACUGGGCUCAAGUGCUCUGUCUGCUGCAGCCUCCCAAAGUGAUGAGAUUAGAGGCAUUAGCCACCCCACCCAGCCUCAACCAAGGAGUCUUGCUCAGUCGCCUCGGCUGGAGUGCAGUGGCACCAUCUCGGCUCACUGCAACUUCCACCUGCUGGAUUCAAGUGAUUCUCUUACCUCAGCUUCCCGAGUAGCUGGGAUUACAGGCACCUGCCACCACGCCCGGCUAAUUUUUUUGGAUUUUAAAUAGAGACAGGAUUUCACCAUGUUGGGCAGGCAGGUCUUGAACCCCUUACCUCAAAUGAUUCACUUGCCUUGGCCUCCCAAAGUGCUGCAAUUACAGGCAUGAGCCACCUCGCCCGGCCAAGAUGUACUAAUUUAAACAAAUAUUUAUAUUGAUCAUCAUAGUACAUCCAUCUUUGUUGGAUGUACUAAUACCACAAUAUAAAUUGAUAAUAUUAAAUAUUACCAAUUCUAUCAGACUGUCAGAUGUUCAGACAUCUGAAGUCUUUGUUGGUAUCAC
Molecule: long non-coding RNA, 838 nt
Filed under: Pan troglodytes (chimpanzee)
Lineage: Eukaryota; Metazoa; Chordata; Mammalia; Primates; Hominidae
Description: lincRNA
Source: RNAcentral